CCUACGGGUGGCAGCAGUGAGGAAUAUUGGUCAAUGGGCGUAAGCCUGAACCAGCCACGUCGCGUGAGGGAUGAAGGUUCUAUGGCUCGUAAACCUCUUUUAUAAGGGAAUAAAGUGCUGGACGUGUCCCGUUUUGUAUGUACCUUAGGAUUAAGGAUCUGCUAACUCGGUGCCAGCAGCCGCGGUAAUACGGAGGAUCCGGGCGUUAUCCGGAUUUCUUGGGUUUAAAGGGUGCGUAGGCGGCCUGUUAAGUAAGCGGUGAAAGUCUGUGGCGCAACGAGUGAAUUGCCGUUGAUACUGGGAGGCUGGAGUGUGUUGGAGGCAGGAGGAAUGCGUGGUGUAGCGGUGAAAUGCUUAGAGAUCACGCAGAACCCCGAUUGCGAAGGCAGCCUGCCAAGCCAUGACUGACGCUGAUGCACGAAAGCGUGGGGAUCAAACAGGAUUAGAUACCCCUGUAGUC
Molecule: ribosomal RNA, 460 nt
Filed under: uncultured bacterium
Lineage: Bacteria
Description: partial 16S ribosomal RNA
Rfam family: Bacterial small subunit ribosomal RNA
Source: RNAcentral